UCAUGAUGAUGGUGAUCAUGCCCGUGAUCAUGGUCGUGGUGGCAAUGGCCAUGGUCAUGGUCGCAAUGGCCGUGAUCAUGGUCAUGAUGGUGGUCG
This 96-nucleotide microRNA precursor is filed under the name Azospirillum sp. RU37A. Its description in RNAcentral is "microRNA mir-598". The record is from RNAcentral. RNAcentral also lists the same sequence under 1 other name. Lineage: Bacteria; Pseudomonadati; Pseudomonadota; Alphaproteobacteria; Rhodospirillales; Azospirillaceae.